CAAGUAAUUAAGUGCAUGUGGUGGAUGCCUUGGCAGUCAGAGGCGAUGAAAGACGUGAUAGCCUGCGAAAAGCUCCGGGGAGGCGGCAAAUAUCCUUUGAUCCGGAGAUGUCUGAAUGGGGGAACCCACCUACUUUAAGGUAGGUAUUGCAACAUGAAUACAUAGUGUUGCAAGGCGAACGAGGGGAAGUGAAACAUCUCAGUACCCUUAGGAAAAGAAAUCAAUUGAGAUUCCCUCAGUAGCGGCGAGCGAACGGGGAUCAGCCCAUUAAGUUAUGUGUGUUUUAGUGGAACGCUCUGGGAAGUGCGAACGUAGAGGGUGAUAUUCCCGUACACGAAAGGGCACACAUAAUGAUGACGAGUAGGGCGAGGCACGUGAAACCUUGUCUGAAUAUGGGGGGACCAUCCUCCAAGGCUAAAUACUCCUGACUGACCGAUAGUGAACCAGUACCGUGAGGGAAAGGCGAAAAGAACCCCUGUGAGGGGAGUGAAAUAGAUCCUGAAACCGCAUGCAUACAAGCAGUGGGAGCACCUUCGUGGUGUGACUGCGUACCUUUUGUAUAAUGGGUCAGCGACUUAUAUUCAGUAGCGAGGUUAACCGUAUAGGGGAGCCGUAGAGAAAUCGAGUCUUAAUAGGGCGUUUAGUUGCUGGGUAUAGACCCGAAACCAGGCGAUCUAUCCAUGAGCAGGUUGAAGGUUGGGUAACACUAACUGGAGGACCGAACCCACUGUCGUUGAAAAGCCAGGGGAUGACUUGUGGAUAGGGGUGAAAGGCUAAUCAAGCCUGGUGAUAGCUGGUUCUCCCCGAAAGCUAUUUAGGUAGCGCCUCGGACGAAUACCAUAGGGGGUAGAGCACUGUUUCGGCUAGGGGGUCAUCCCGACUUACCAAACCGAUGCAAACUCCGAAUACCUAUGAGUACUAUCCGGGAGACAGACUGCGGGUGCUAACGUCCGUAGUCAAGAGGAAAACAAUCCAGACCGCCAGCUAAGGCCCCAAAAUCAUAGUUAAGUGGGAAACGAUGUGGGAAGGCAUAGACAGCUAGGAGGUUGGCUUAGAAGCAGCCACCCUUUAAAGAAAGCGUAAUAGCUCACUAGUCGAGUCGGCCUGCGCGGAAGAUGUAACGGGGCUAAAACUAUGUGCCGAAGCUGCGGAUGUAUACUUUGUAUACGUGGUAGGGGAGCGUUCUGUAAGCCGAUGAAGGUGUGUUGAGAAGCAUGCUGGAGGUAUCAGAAGUGCGAAUGCUGACGUGAGUAACGACAAAACGGGUGAAAAACCCGUUCGCCGAAAGACCAAGGGUUCCAGUCCAACGUUAAUCGGGGCUGGGUGAGUCGACCCCUAAGGCGAGGCCGAAAGGCGUAGUCGAUGGGAAAAUGGUUAAUAUUCCAUUACUUCUGUGUAAUGCGAUGAGAGGACGGAGAAGGCUAAAUCAGCCUGGCGUUGGUUGUCCAGGUGAAAGGAUGUAGGCAUGUAUCUUAGGCAAAUCCGGGGUACUCUAUGCUGAGAUCUGAUAGCAAGCUGUACUUGUACAGCGAAGUGGUUGAUGCCAUGCUUCCAGGAAAAGUCUCUAAGCUUCAGUUACACAGGAAUCGUACCCGAAACCGACACAGGUGGUCAGGUCGAGUAGACCAAGGCGCUUGAGAGAACUCUGCUGAAGGAACUAGGCAAAAUGGUACCGUAACUUCGGGAGAAGGUACGCUGUUGUUGGUGAUGGAACUCGCUUCCUGAGCUGACGACAGCCGCAGAAACCAGGCCGCUGCAACUGUUUAUUAAAAACAUAGCACUCUGCAAACACGAAAGUGGACGUAUAGGGUGUGAUGCCUGCCCGGUGCUGGAAGGUUAAUUGAUGGGGUUAGCGUAAGCGAAGCUCUUGAUCGAAGCCCCAGUAAACGGCGGCCGUAACUAUAACGGUCCUAAGGUAGCGAAAUUCCUUGUCGGGUAAGUUCCGACCUGCACGAAUGGCAUAAUGAUGGCGGCGCUGUCUCCAGCAGAGGCUCAGUGAAAUCGAAAUCGCUGUGAAGAUGCAGUGUACCCGCGGCUAGACGGAAAGACCCCGUGAACCUUUACUGCAGCUUGACACUGAACUUUGACCUUACUUGUGUAGGAUAGGUGGGAGGCUUUGAAGCUGGAACGCUAGUUCCAGUGGAGCCGUCCUUGAAAUACCACCCUGGUAAUGUUGAGGUUCUAACUCUGUCCCGUGAUCCGGGACGAGGACCGUGUCUGGUGGGUAGUUUGACUGGGGCGGUCUCCUCCUAAAGAGUAACGGAGGAGUACGAAGGUGCGCUCAGCGUGGUCGGAAAUCACGCGUAGAGUAUAAAGGCAAAAGCGCGCUUAACUGCGAGACCCACAAGUCGAGCAGGUACGAAAGUAGGUCUUAGUGAUCCGGUGGUUCUGUAUGGAAGGGCCAUCGCUCAACGGAUAAAAGGUACUCUGGGGAUAACAGGCUGAUACCGCCCAAGAGUUCAUAUCGACGGCGGUGUUUGGCACCUCGAUGUCGGCUCAUCUCAUCCUGGGGCUGAAGCAGGUCCCAAGGGUAUGGCUGUUCGCCAUUUAAAGAGGUACGCGAGCUGGGUUUAGAACGUCGUGAGACAGUUCGGUCCCUAUCUACCGUGGGCGCUGGAAAUUUGAGAGGAUCUGCUCCUAGUACGAGAGGACCAGAGUGGACGAACCUCUGGUGUACCGGUUGUGACGCCAGUCGCAUCGCCGGGUAGCUAUGUUCGGAAGGGAUAACCGCUGAAAGCAUCUAAGCGGGAAGCCUACCUCAAGAUAAGAUUUCCCUAGGACUUUAUGUCCUCUAAAGAGCCGUUCGAGACUAGGACGUUGAUAGGUUGGAUGUGGAAGCAUAGUGAUAUGUGAAGCUGACCAAUACUAAUUGCUCGUGAGGCUUGA
This 2886-nucleotide ribosomal RNA is filed under the name Acinetobacter baumannii 98826. RNAcentral's name for it is "bacterial LSU rRNA". It matches the Rfam family "Bacterial large subunit ribosomal RNA". Lineage: Bacteria; Pseudomonadati; Pseudomonadota; Gammaproteobacteria; Moraxellales; Moraxellaceae. The record is from RNAcentral.